This 253-nucleotide ribosomal RNA is filed under the name uncultured bacterium. RNAcentral's name for it is "partial 16S ribosomal RNA". It matches the Rfam family "Bacterial small subunit ribosomal RNA", at positions 524 to 776 of the family's 1533-position model. The record is from RNAcentral.
GACAGAGGUGCCGAGCGUUAGGCGGAAUCACUGGGCUUAAAGCGUGUGUAGGCGGGCGAUCAAGUACCUUGUGAAAUCCCACGGCUCAACCGUGGAACCGCUGGGUAUACUGGUUGUCUUGAGCCGGCUAGGGGCGAGCGGAACAGACGGUGGAGCGGUGAAAUGCGUAGAUAUCGCUUGGAACGCCGAAGGUGAAAACAGGCUGCUGGGGUUGUGCCGACGCUGAGACACGAAAGCCAGGGGAGCAAACGGG